Molecule: ribosomal RNA, 253 nt
Filed under: uncultured bacterium
Lineage: Bacteria
Description: partial 16S ribosomal RNA
Rfam family: Bacterial small subunit ribosomal RNA
Source: RNAcentral
UACAGAGGUCUCGAGCGUUGUUCGGAUUCAUUGGGCGUAAAGGGCGCGUAGGCGGCUGGGUAAGUCUGGUGUGAAAUCUCGGAGCUCAACUCCGAAAUUGCACUGGAUACUGCUCUGCUAGAGGGCUGGAGAGGAGAUCGGAAUUCACGGUGUAGCAGUGAAAUGCGUAGAUAUCGGGAGGAAGACCAGUGGCGAAGGCGGAUCUCUGGACAGCUCCUGACGCUGAGGCGCGAAGGCUAGGGGAGCAAACGGG